Molecule: ribosomal RNA, 1047 nt
Filed under: Bacillus safensis
Lineage: Bacteria; Bacillati; Bacillota; Bacilli; Caryophanales; Bacillaceae
Description: bacterial SSU rRNA
Rfam family: Bacterial small subunit ribosomal RNA
Source: RNAcentral
UGCAAGUCGAGCGGACAGAAGGGAGCUUGCUCCCGGAUGUUAGCGGCGGACGGGUGAGUAACACGUGGGUAACCUGCCUGUAAGACUGGGAUAACUCCGGGAAACCGGAGCUAAUACCGGAUAGUUCCUUGAACCGCAUGGUUCAAGGAUGAAAGACGGUUUCGGCUGUCACUUGCAGAUGGACCCGCGGCGCAUUAGCUAGUUGGUGGGGUAAUGGCUCACCAAGGCGACGAUGCGUAGCCGACCUGAGAGGGUGAUCGGCCACACUGGGACUGAGACACGGCCCAGACUCCUACGGGAGGCAGCAGUAGGGAAUCUUCCGCAAUGGACGAAAGUCUGACGGAGCAACGCCGCGUGAGUGAUGAAGGUUUUCGGAUCGUAAAGCUCUGUUGUUAGGGAAGAACAAGUGCGAGAGUAACUGCUCGCACCUUGACGGUACCUAACCAGAAAGCCACGGCUAACUACGUGCCAGCAGCCGCGGUAAUACGUAGGUGGCAAGCGUUGUCCGGAAUUAUUGGGCGUAAAGGGCUCGCAGGCGGUUUCUUAAGUCUGAUGUGAAAGCCCCCGGCUCAACCGGGGAGGGUCAUUGGAAACUGGGAAACUUGAGUGCAGAAGAGGAGAGUGGAAUUCCACGUGUAGCGGUGAAAUGCGUAGAGAUGUGGAGGAACACCAGUGGCGAAGGCGACUCUCUGGUCUGUAACUGACGCUGAGGAGCGAAAGCGUGGGGAGCGAACAGGAUUAGAUACCCUGGUAGUCCACGCCGUAAACGAUGAGUGCUAAGUGUUAGGGGGUUUCCGCCCCUUAGUGCUGCAGCUAACGCAUUAAGCACUCCGCCUGGGGAGUACGGUCGCAAGACUGAAACUCAAAGGAAUUGACGGGGGCCCGCACAAGCGGUGGAGCAUGUGGUUUAAUUCGAAGCAACGCGAAGAACCUUACCAGGUCUUGACAUCCUCUGACAACCCUAGAGAUAGGGCUUUCCCUUCGGGGACAGAAUGACAGGUGGUGCAUGGUUGUCGUCACCUCCUGUCCUGAGAUGUUGGGUUAAUU